Long non-coding RNA from Topomyia yanbarensis, 452 nucleotides. RefSeq lists it as uncharacterized. Lineage: Eukaryota; Metazoa; Arthropoda; Insecta; Diptera; Culicidae. The record is from RefSeq and is a predicted model, not a curated record. The transcript has 3 exons.
GAUUGAGUGCGGGGCUCGCACAAAGAAUGCUGGCGCAGUUCGCAGCCAUCAUGCAUUGUUCGCCCGCCGGCUGAUGCCGGCUGGUAUAAAAUGAUUAAUUGCGAUUAGAAAGUUUCACUGUUUAAAGGUUGGAGGCUAGCGAGGUAGCCGAGGAUUGGUAAAAUAUUGAUCGAAUCCCUCGGAGCACGGGGUUCAACGGGAUUAUCUGAUGGCGCGCCACCCGGUAGUUAGUGUUGUUCACACAGUAAUCGUACUAAUUGAGAAACCUUUUGUUGUAACAACGUGGAUUGACGUGGUAGAUAAGUUUAAUAUCGUGUACUAAAGUCGAUCAGAUAUAUGUGUUUAUUCAAUUCAUAGAAGCGAAAUUCCGUCAAAAUGAUAAGUAUUUACAAAGCAAACAGACGAUGAAAAACCUUGAUAGCAGAGAACGAAUGUGACCGGAAAAUUGAGAU